RNAcentral lists this ribosomal RNA (506 nucleotides) under uncultured bacterium. RNAcentral's name for it is "partial 16S ribosomal RNA". It matches the Rfam family "Bacterial small subunit ribosomal RNA", at positions 29 to 523 of the family's 1533-position model. The record is from RNAcentral.
AGUGAACGCUGGCGGUAGGCCUAACACAUGCAAGUCGAACGGCAGCACAGGAGAGCUUGCUCUCUGGGUGGCGAGUGGCGGACGGGUGAGGAAUACAUCGGAAUCUACUCUGUCGUGGGGGAUAACGUAGGGAAACUUACGCUAAUACCGCAUACGACCUACGGGUGAAAGCAGGGGACCUUCGGGCCUUGCGCGAUUGAAUGAGCCGAUGUCGGAUUAGCUAGUUGGCGGGGUAAAGGCCCACCAAGGCGACGAUCCGUAGCUGGUCUGAGAGAAUGAGCAGCCAAACUGGAACUGAGAAAGGGUCCAGACUCCUACGGGAGGCAGCAGUGGGGAAUAUUGGACAAUGGGCGCAAGCCUGUUCCAGCCAUACCGCGUGGGUGAAGAAGGCCUUCGGGUUGUAAAGCCCUUUUGUUGGGAAAGAAAUCCAGCUGGCUAAUACCCGGUUGGGAUGACGGUACCCAAAGAAUAAGCACCGGCUAACUUCGUGCCAGCCGCCGCCGUAA